CCUACGGGAGGCAGCAGUGAGGAAUCUUCGUCAAUGGGCGCGAGCCUGAACCAGCAAAGUAGCGUGAAGGAUGACUGCCCUACGGGCUGUAAACUUCUUUUAUAAAGGAAUACAGUGAGGCAAGUGAGCCUUUUUGUAUGUACUUUAUGAAUUAGGAUCGGCUAACUCCGUGCCAGCAGCCGCGGUAAUACGGAGGAUCCGAGCGUUAUCCGGAUUUAUUGGGUUUAAAGGAAGCGUAGAUGGGUUGUUAAGUCAGUUGUGAAAGUUUGCGGCUCAACCGUAAAAUUGCAAUUGAUACUGGCAGUCUUGAGUACAGUUGAGGUAGGCGGAAUUCGUGGUGUAGCGGUGAAAUGCUUAGAGAUCACGAAGAACUCCGAUGGCGAAGGCAGCUUACUAAACUGCCACUGACAUUGAUGCUCGAAAGUGUGGGUAUCAAACAGGAUUAGAUACCCCUGUAGUC
Molecule: ribosomal RNA, 460 nt
Filed under: uncultured bacterium
Lineage: Bacteria
Description: partial 16S ribosomal RNA
Rfam family: Bacterial small subunit ribosomal RNA
Source: RNAcentral